Molecule: long non-coding RNA, 1627 nt
Filed under: Marmota monax (woodchuck)
Lineage: Eukaryota; Metazoa; Chordata; Mammalia; Rodentia; Sciuridae
Source: RNAcentral
AAAAGUUUGGGGUAGGAUGAAGUUUAGAUUAAGUAAAAUAUAUUUUGAUUUGUAUUGCAGUUGUCCCCUGAAGUUAUUGAUAUAGCAGGAAGCAACUGAAACUGAAUAAAAUUAUUUUCAUAAGAAUUAAGCAUAAAAAAAAGAAAACCUGGCAUAAGCAAGCCUUGAAUGGGAAGAAAGGUUAUAUUUUAAAGGUAUCCAAUUACAAAGACAAGGGCAGAGAAGAAAGCAAAUAGCUCUGUAGUAACUGAGAAUUCUGCAUCUUUAGCAAGCAGCAAGAUACUAUUGUUCCUUUCUACUCGGUUAUGUACUAUAGACCAGCAGCCAUUUCAUUCUCUAGACAUGUCAUAAUUUAUACCUCUCAAUGUACCUUAUUAGUGGCAGAUUGGCUUCUAAAGAGAUAAUAGGAGAAUUUUAGAAAUGCCAUUCCAGGGCGCUGGAGAUACAGCUCAGUUGGUAGAGUGCUUGCCUCACAUACACAAGGCCCUGGGUUCAAUACUGAGCACCACCACCACCAAAAAAAACAAAAGAAAGAAAAUGCCAUUCUCUAGUACCAAGUUUUUGUAUAUUCAUGCCGCAACUAAAUCAGUUUCAGAGCUAGUGCUGGCAAUCCAUUCAAAUUCAGUUGCACCAAAGCCUUAAGUAAUCUCAAAUAUAUGUCAUUGCAGUAUGUCUCCACCUACUUUCUUGAUAAUAUAGACAUUUUUUCUCUCAUUUUUCAUAACUGAUAUUUCGGUACUUUACACAAAAUGUUAGGAAGAUAAAUCCUUAUUAACUGGAUUCUCACAUUGCUCUAUUUCAUAUUAUCUUCUGGGGGAAAAAGUAUUUGUGUCCUAAACAGUAUUUGUUAGUUUCUUAUAGCUAAUCUAACAAAUUUGAUGGUUUAAAGCAUCAGAAAUGUACCCAGUUCUGGAGGCCAAAAUUUCAAAAUCAAAGUUGUCAUGGUUGCCUUCCCCCUAGAAUUCUAGGAAAGAACCAUUCCUUGGCAUUACACCAACUCGCUCCUGUCUCUGCUCCAUCCUCAUAUCUCUUUAAUGUGUCUAAUACCCCUCUUCCUUUCUCUUACAAGGCAGUUUAGAGCCUUUCUUGAUUAUUCAGGAUAAUCUCACCUCAAGACCCUUAGCAUACUUCCAAAGACCCUCUUUCAAAUGAUGGAAACAUUUUACAAGAGGGGACUGGGAUGUGGACAUAAUCUUUGGGAGACAUUAUCAGCCAACUCACAUGGUGUUUACUAAUUUAACAAAAUUUAGCUUAAAUCUACUUCAGGGUAACCUAAAAUAUUCUGAGUUGAAUCAGCAGAACUUGGAGUCUCCUAGAGAGCCCCUGAGGAUGUGGCAAAGCCAUAGGGGUAAACUACGCUACAGAGAUUUUUCUAAGGGAAAUUUAGGAUCAAGUGAGAUUUCAAGGAGUUAUAAGAGGUCCAGUCUGAGCUAGUUCCACAAUUUCAGAACCAGUAUAGUAGCUAUGGAACUGUUAACCAUUGUCAUCCCCUUGGAAUUACUUUAUACUUGUAUUAGUAUACAUUCUCUCCAUGUUUCAUAUUUUCAAUGAUAGCCAAACUCCCCCCUUCCACUGAUUUUGAUUUAAGGAGUAAUAUAAAUUGUAAGCUUCAUUUUUUGCUUUUUAU